CUCGCCUUCUAAACUAAUCAUUGAUAUUAUGUUGAUAGUCCUAAGUAUAAAGCUAAGCUUUAUUACAACUGUCACAUAAACUUAACAUUAACCAAGACAACUAAACAAAGACCAAUGAACCUUGAAAAUGAGGUCAAGGUCAGAUGAACCAUGCUAGGCAGACAUGUACAGCUAACAAUGCUUCUAUACAACAUAUUAUAUAGUUGACC
RNAcentral lists this long non-coding RNA (209 nucleotides) under Mytilus galloprovincialis (Mediterranean mussel). The record is from RNAcentral. Lineage: Eukaryota; Metazoa; Mollusca; Bivalvia; Mytilida; Mytilidae.